ACGGGCUGGAAGUGUUCUUUUUGAUCCUUCGAUGUCGGCUCUUCCUAUCAUUGAGACGCAGAAGUCCCAAAGUGUCGGAUUGUUCACCCGCCAAAAGGGAACGUGAGCUGGGUUUAGACCGUCGUGAGACAGGUU
This is a ribosomal RNA of 135 nucleotides. It matches the Rfam family "Eukaryotic large subunit ribosomal RNA", at positions 2829 to 2984 of the family's 3401-position model. The record is from Rfam.